GACGAACGCUGGCGGCGUGCUUAAUACAUGCAAGUCGAACGGAAAGGCCCUGCUUUUGUGGGGUGCUCGAGUGGCGAACGGGUGAGUAACACGUGAGUAACCUGCCCUUGACUUUGGGAUAACUUCAGGAAACUGGGGCUAAUACCGGAUAGGAGCUCCUGCUGCAUGGUGGGGGUUGGAAAGUUUCGGCGGUUGGGGAUGGACUCGCGGCUUAUCAGCUUGUUGGUGGGGUAGUGGCUUACCAAGGCUUUGACGGGUAGCCGGCCUGAGAGGGUGACCGGCCACAUUGGGACUGAGAUACGGCCCGGACUCCUACGGGAGGCAGCAGUGGGGAAUAUUGCACAAUGGGCGGAAGCCUGAUGCAGCAACGCCGCGUGCGGGAUGACGGCCUUCGGGUUGUAAGCCGCUUUCGCCUGUGACGAAGCGUGAGUGACGGUAAUGGGUAAAGAAGCACCGGCUAACUACGU
Molecule: ribosomal RNA, 467 nt
Filed under: uncultured bacterium
Lineage: Bacteria
Description: partial 16S ribosomal RNA
Rfam family: Bacterial small subunit ribosomal RNA
Source: RNAcentral